This 57-nucleotide transfer RNA is filed under the name Loxodonta africana (African savanna elephant). The record is from Rfam by way of RNAcentral. Lineage: Eukaryota; Metazoa; Chordata; Mammalia; Proboscidea; Elephantidae.
UGGCACAAAGGUUAAGUGUUCGGCUGCUAACCGAAAGGUCGGUGGUUCAAACCCAUC